Molecule: ribosomal RNA, 253 nt
Filed under: uncultured prokaryote
Description: partial 16S ribosomal RNA
Rfam family: Bacterial small subunit ribosomal RNA
Source: RNAcentral
UACGGAGGGUGCGAGCGUUGUCCGGAAUCACUGGGCGUAAAGGGCGCGUAGGCGGCGAGGAUAGUCAACGGUGAAAGCUUGGGGCUCAACCCCGAGUCGGCCGUCGAUACUUCCUUGCUUGAGCACUGUAGAGGCAGAUGGAAUUCCUGGUGUAGCAGUGAAAUGCGUAGAUAUCAGGAGGAACACCGAUGGCGAAGGCAGGUCUCUGGGCUGACACUGACGCUCAUGCACGAAAGCGUGGGGAGCAAACAGG